GAUGAACGCUGGCGGCGUGCCUAAUACAUGCAAGUCGAGCGAACGGACGAGAAGCUUGCUUCUCUGAUGUUAGCGGCGGACGGGUGAGUAACACGUGGAUAACCUCCCUAUAAGACUGGGAUAACUUCGGGAAACCGGCGCUAAUACCGGAUGAUAUUUUGAACCGCAUGGUUCAAAAGUGAAAGACGGUCUUGCUGUCACUUAUAGAUGGAUCCGCGCUGCAUUAGCUAGUUGGUAAGGUAACGGCUUACCAAGGCAACGAUGCAUAGCCGACCUGAGAGGGUGAUCGGCCACACGGGAACUGAGACACGGUCCAGACUCCUACGGGAGGCAGCAGUAGGGAAUCUUCCGCAAUGGGCGAAAGCCUGACGGAGCAACGCCGCGUGAGUGAUGAAGGUCUUCGGAUCGUAAAACUCUGUUAUUAGGGAAGAACAUAUGUGUAAGUAACUGUGCACAUCUUGACGGUACCUAAUCAGAAAGCCACGGCUAACUACGUG
RNAcentral lists this ribosomal RNA (497 nucleotides) under uncultured bacterium. Its description in RNAcentral is "partial 16S ribosomal RNA". It matches the Rfam family "Bacterial small subunit ribosomal RNA", at positions 28 to 507 of the family's 1533-position model. The record is from RNAcentral.